RNAcentral lists this ribosomal RNA (1734 nucleotides) under Triticum aestivum (bread wheat). RNAcentral describes it as "partial small subunit ribosomal RNA". Lineage: Eukaryota; Viridiplantae; Streptophyta; Magnoliopsida; Poales; Poaceae. The record is from RNAcentral.
AUGUCAGCCCGCCACUCUAUUAGUCCAAAAUUUGUCGACAAUGACAAAGAGAAAUACUUGACAUAUAAUUUAAUGGAUCCAAAUAUGGUUACUCGCCAUGUCAUUGAUGUCUCGGGUCAAGCGAAGACAUUCAUUUGGAUGAAGGGCUCAGAGGAUUGGGUAAUGAUCAAUGCUCAACCAAAAGCUCAGUGUGAUGUCCAUGCAAUUUGUGGACCUUUCACAAUUUGCACUGAUAAUAAAGUUCCACACUACAACUGUAUGGAGGGCUUCACCAUAACAUCCCCCAAGGACUGGGAGCUAGAAAAUCGAGCAGAUGGGUGCUCAAGAAAUACUCAGUUAGACUGCAUUAGCAACAUAAGCAAAACACACACCACAGACAAGUUCUAUUUUGUACCAUGUGUUAAGUUACCCCAGAAUGCCCCAAAAGUAGAAGCUGCUGCAAGCACGAGUGAGUGCGCACAAAUUUGCCUGAGUAAUUGCUCUUGCACCGCAUACUCCUUCGGUGACAGCAGAUGUUCUAUGUGGCAUAAUGAAUUGCUCAACAUAAGACAACUACAAUGUAGUGACACUACCAAUUCAAAUGGAGGAACUCUUUAUCUUCAUCUUUCUGCUGAAGAUGUACAAAGUUUGAAAAACAACAGAAGAGGGAUAGUUACUGGAGUUGUAAUUGGUACAGGUAUUUCUGCUCUAGGCUUAUUUGCACUCAUCCUCCUACUAAUUGUUUGGAGAAACAAAAACAAGAGAUCUGGUCAAAUACAGAAUAAAUCUGAAGUUUGUGAUGGAAUCACUGCAUUUAGAUACAAUGAUCUUCAACGAGCAACACAUUUUACAGAUAAGUUGGGUGGAGGCAGUUUUGGUUCUGUAUUCAAGGGGUUUAUAAAGGGCUCCAAUGCCAUAGCAGUGAAGUUUCCUUCAGGUGCUUAUCAAGUAGAGAAGCAAUUCAGAGCUGAAGUGAGCUCAAUUGGAGUUGUCCAGCACAUCAAUUUAGUUAAGCUUGUUGGUUUCUGUUGUGAGGGUUCUAAGAGGUUGCUUGUUUAUGAAUACAUGUCAAAUCGGUCUCUUGAUGUCCAUUUAUUUGGAAGCAACUCAAUGUUAAAUUGGACUACUAGGUAUCAGAUAGGCUUAGGUGUCGCAAGAGGGUUGGCCUACUUGCAUGACAGCUAUCGAGACCGCAUCAUACACUGUGAUAUCAAGCCAGAAAACAUACUUCUUGAUGCUUCACGCCUUCCAAAAAUUGUAGACUUUUGGAUGGCAAAGCUUUUAGGAAGGGAUUAUAGCAGAGUAUUGACAACAAUGAGAGAAACUACAGGAUACCUUGCACCUGAAUUGCUUACCGGUGUUCCUAUUACACCAAAAGUCGAUGUUUUUAGCUCCGGGAUGGUGUUGCUAGAAAUAAUAUCUGGAAGGAAGAACUCAUGUCCGUCACGUCCCAGCGGUGGCAACACUGAUGUUUACUUUCCUGUCCAUGCCGCACAUAAGCUUCUUGCAGGAGACGUCGGGACUUUGGUAGAUCACAAGCUACAUGGUAUUGCCAAUCUCGAUGAGGUUGAAAUUGCUUGCAAGGUUGUGGGUUUGUGCCUCCAAGACGAUGAGCUUGAUCGGCCAACAAUGGGACAUGUGGUUCAGAUUCUUGAAGGGCUAGUUGAGAUCACAAUGCCCCCGAUACCAAGACUGCUCCAAGCUAUGGCUGGAAGCUCGCAUUCAACAUGCUCCUUUUUUGUUUCAGGGUUUUAG